CAAGGUUUCCAGGGGAAGGUUCGUCCGCCCUGGGUUAGUCGGGACCUAAGCUGAGGCCGAAAGGCGUAGGUGAUGGACAACAGGUUGAUAUUCCUGUACUACCGAUAACCGUUUGAGAGAAGGGAUGACACAGUAGGAUAAGCUAAGCACACUGUUGGUUAUGUGUGCCCAAGCAUUGAGGCAGUCAAAGUAGGCAAAUCCGCUUUGAUAAUGCUGGGAUGUGAUGGGGAGCGAAAUUUAGUAGCGAAGUAGCUGAUUUCACACUGUCAAGAAAAGUCUCUAUCGAGGUUAAAGGUACCCGUACCGCAAACCGACACAGGUGGGUGAGGAGAGUAUCCUAAGGCCAGCGAGAGAACUGUUGUUAAGGAACUCGGCAAAAUGACCCCGUAACUUAGGGAUAAGGGGUGCCACCAUCAGGUGGCCGCAGAGAAUAGGCCCAAGCGACUGUUUACCAAAAACAUAGGUUUCUGCUAAGUCGCAAGACGAUGUAUAGGAGCUGACGCCUGCCCGGUGCUGGAAGGUUAAGGGGAUCUGUUAGAGCAAUCGAAGCAGUGAACUUAAGCCCCAGUAAACGGCGGCCGUAACUAUAACGGUCCUAAGGUAGCGAAAUUCCUUGUCGGGUAAGUUCCGACCCGCACGAAAGGCGUAACGAUUUGGGCACUGUCUCAACAACAGACUCGGUGAAAUUGUAAUUCCGGUGAAGAUGCCGGAUACCUGCGACAGGACGGAAAGACCCCAUGGAGCUUUACUGUAGCUUGACAUUGGGUCUUGGUACUACAUGUACAGGAUAGGUGGGAGGCUUUGAAACCAGGACGCCAGUUUUGGCGGAGCCAUCCUUGGGAUACCACCCUUGUAGUACUGGGACUCUAACCAUAGGCCAUGAAUCUGGUCUUGGGACACUGUCAGGUGGGCAGUUUGACUGGGGCGGUCGCCUCCCAAAAGGUAACGGAGGCGCUCAAAGGUUCUCUCAGUACGGUCGGAAAUCGUACGUAGAGUGUAAAGGCAAAAGAGAGCUUGAUUGCAAGACAUACAGGUCGAGCAAGGAUGAAAAUCGGACUUAGUGAUCCGGUGGUUCUGCGUGGAAGGGCCAUCGCUCAACGGAUAAAAGCUACCCUGGGGAUAACAGGCUUAUCUCCCCCAAGAGUCCACAUCGACGGGGAGGUUUGGCACCUCGAUGUCGGCUCAUCACAUCCUGGGGCUGUAGUAGGUCCCAAGGGUUGGGCUGUUCGCCCAUUAAAGUGGUACGCGAGCUGGGUUCAGAACGUCGUGAGACAGUUCGGUCCCUAUCCGUCGCAGGCGUAGGAAAUUUGAGAAGACCUGUCCUUAGUACGAGAGGACCGGGAUGGACGUACCUCUGGUGUACCAGUUGUCCUGCCAAGGGCAUGGCUGGGUAGCUAUGUACGGAAUGGAUAAGCGCUGAAAGCAUCUAAGCGCGAAGCCAACUUCAAGAUAAGAUUUCCCACCGCAAGGGUAAGACCCCAGAAAGACUAUCUGGUUGAUAGGUCGAAGGUGUAAGUGCAGCAAUGUAUUUAGCUUAUCGAUACUAAUAGGUCGAGGACUUGACCAA
Molecule: ribosomal RNA, 1567 nt
Filed under: Clostridioides difficile
Lineage: Bacteria; Bacillati; Bacillota; Clostridia; Peptostreptococcales; Peptostreptococcaceae
Description: partial 23S ribosomal RNA
Rfam family: Bacterial large subunit ribosomal RNA
Source: RNAcentral